CCAAUUUACAAGGUAAGUUAACUUGUAUACCAUAUAACAUGAAACAAAAUUGAUAAUCAAAUGAAAAAGCAUAUGCCUUUUAUUACGAUACUCUAUCUUGUAUUGAGAAAAAUCCACCUGUUUAAGGAAGACUAAUUCUAGAAUGUAUUAUCAAAAUAUUAAUAUGGUUUUGGAGACUGUAUUUAUUUUUAUUUUUGUUGAAAGUUUGCAUUCGUGUGUCAAUAUCAAUGUUAUUUAAUAAAACUUUUAAAGAACGUUGUGUUUAUUCGGUUCACAACAACCAAUAUGAAAAUGUGGUAUGAGACAACUAUCCACCAUAGUUAAAAUAGAGUAGAUUUUAACAAUUAUUGGCAACCGUGCCAUAUAAUCGGUUUUAAUUUGCCCCCACAUUCUAUAUAUGAAAUAAUUCAAUUGAGAAUAUUAACGGAAAAAUUUAGAACAAAACAAUAUACAAAAAAAGAGAGAUAUGACAGAAUAAAUCUGAUAUAAUAAAAUAAAAAUAAAAGUCACUUUGUGUUGAAAUAAGAGUCGCCAGAACACGUAAAGCUUGACGUUUACAAACUAUGUAAAUCACUAGUUAAUUCAAUGUUUUAAAACGCACAUAAUACAAUUGUAACAAUAGGUAAAGCAGCCAGUAUUGUUAUGUAUUCAAAAAGAUAAUUUCAAGGUAUUUUACUGUUUUGUUAUUGCAAUAGUACUAGUUUAUACUAAUAUCAACCUUGUUUGGUUUUUUUUGUUUUUUUAUUAAAACAGCAACUACGAAUAGUGAUUACUGUUAUUAUGGAGUUUAAUGUCCACGAAGUGCAUUAUAACGUGAAAGGUGAAAACCAUAAAGAGAUGGCAAAGUUUGUGAAAGAAAUGAAACUAAUGGGUACGUUAUAUUGAUUUUUACUGUUGGGUUUGUUUUUCAUUGCGUAUAUAUAUAGGGAAGAACCAAAAAUUUGCGAAAGCAAAUUUACAGAUCUAACAUUGUUGGGUUGAUGUUUAGACGAGUUGUAUAUAUAUAUAUAUAUAUAUAAUCCCCAAAAAAUUGUGGUAUGAUUGCCAAUGAGACAACUCUCCCCAAAAUACCAAAUGACACAGAAAUUAACAUUUGUAUGUUAAUUCUAGAUCAAAACAAAAUUUAAAACACAUUGAUAAGAUUUAUAAAAAAAAAAUAAAACAACAAAUUAUAAAUUUAAUGCGUCUGAAGCGCUGUUCUUAAUUUAGCUUCAUCAGGAAUACUUAAAGCCGACCUUUUGAAAGCUAGAGGUGUAUAAAACCGAAAUAGUUGAACAGCUAUUUAAUCAAAAAUCACAUAAAAUUAUUACCAAAUCCUUGUAAGGCUAACUUUGGCUGAGGAAGUUGAAAACUUUGUUUACUUAAAGGGGUUAGUCAUCGUUAAAUAGUUCCGUAUCUUCAAGUUUUAUGUACAUGUAGUAUAAAUCGUCAAAUAAUUAGUGUGUCAAAUAUCAAUAUAUGUUUCUGACUUUUGUCAAAUAUAUUACUGAAAUAUCGAUUAUUGUUUAGAGGGUAAAACAGCAGAAACUGAUCAAAUAGUUAUAUGCCUAGAUCUUGUCAUCUAUACUUUGAAAAUUGCUCAAUUUGCAGACGCCAAAUAAUGUCUUUUAUCAUAUCUCUUUUGCCGAAAUGAAAAGUUUCGACCCUGAAUAUCAAAUAAAAUAUUUUUGUUCAUUUUAGGUGGUCACAGUGGCCAACAACCAAAGGCAAUCGAAGGGAGCAGGCAUAAAAAAGAUAAAGAAGAUGGCAAACACCGUAAAAACAAAAAGCAUUAACUGAUGAUAUGACAUGAUUAUUAAACGUGACCUACACGUUUCAUAAAUAA
RNAcentral lists this long non-coding RNA (1825 nucleotides) under Mytilus galloprovincialis (Mediterranean mussel). Lineage: Eukaryota; Metazoa; Mollusca; Bivalvia; Mytilida; Mytilidae. The record is from RNAcentral.